This 492-nucleotide ribosomal RNA is filed under the name uncultured bacterium. RNAcentral describes it as "partial 16S ribosomal RNA". It matches the Rfam family "Bacterial small subunit ribosomal RNA", at positions 29 to 507 of the family's 1533-position model. The record is from RNAcentral.
AGUGAACGCUGGCGGUAGGCCUAACACAUGCAAGUCGAACGGCAGCACAGUAAGAGCUUGCUCUUACGGGUGGCGAGUGGCGGACGGGUGAGGAAUACAUCGGAAUCUACUUUUUCGUGGGGGAUAACGUAGGGAAACUUACGCUACUACCGCAUACGACCUACGGGUGAAAGCAGGUGAUCUUCGGACCUUGCGCGACAGAAUGAGCCGAUGUCGGAUUAGCUAGUUGGCGGGGUAAAGGCCCACCAAGGCGACGAUCCGUAGCUGGUCUGAGAGGAUGAUCAGCCACACUGGAACUGAGACACGGUCCAGACUCCUACGAGAGGCAGCAGUGGGGAAUAUUGGACAAUGGGCGCAAGCCUGAUCCAGCCAUACCGCGUGGGUGAAGAAGGCCUUCGGGUUGUAAAGCCCUUUUGUUGGGAAAGAAAAGCAGCAGGUUAAUACCCCGCUGUUCUGACGGUACCCAAAGAAUAAGCACCGGCUAACUUCGUG